AAAGUCGUAACAAGGUUUCCGUAGGUGAACCUGCGGAAGGAUCAUUAUUGAAUGAACAUGGAGUUUGGUUGUCGCUGGCCCCUUCACUGGGGCAUGUGCACGCCUUUCUCUAUUCAUCCACACACACCUGUGAACUUGUGAGACGGAUAGUAGUCCCCCCCCCUCGGGGAGGGCGAGCUCCGCCUGCUAUACAUAAACUCCAGUAAAUAAAUUUGAAUGUCAUUUGAUGUAACGCAUCUAUAAACUAAGUUUCAACAACGGAUCUCUUGGCUCUC
RNAcentral lists this unclassified non-coding RNA (275 nucleotides) under Basidiomycota sp. Its description in RNAcentral is "partial contains small subunit ribosomal RNA, internal transcribed spacer 1, and 5.8S ribosomal RNA". The stretch from base 1 to 47 matches the Rfam family "Eukaryotic small subunit ribosomal RNA", at positions 1785 to 1831 of the family's 1831-position model. The record is from RNAcentral. Lineage: Eukaryota; Fungi; Basidiomycota.